Molecule: ribosomal RNA, 253 nt
Filed under: uncultured bacterium
Lineage: Bacteria
Description: partial 16S ribosomal RNA
Rfam family: Bacterial small subunit ribosomal RNA
Source: RNAcentral
UACAGAGGUCUCAAGCGUUGUUCGGAUUCAUUGGGCGUAAAGGGUGUGUAGGUGGCGCCGUAAGUCGGGUGUGAAAUUUCGGAGCUUAACUCCGAAACUGCAUUCGAUACUGCGCUGCUCGAGGACUGGAGAGGAGACUGGAAUUCAUGGUGUAGCAGUGAAAUGCGUAGAGAUCAUGAGGAAGACCAGUGGCGAAGGCGGGUCUCUGGACAGUUCCUGACACUGAGACACGAAGGCCAGGGGAGCAAACGGG